GGUCCCGUAGUGUAGCGGUUAUCACGUCGCCCUGUCACGGCGCAGAUCGCGGGUUCGAUUCCCGUCGGGACCG
This 73-nucleotide transfer RNA is filed under the name Streptococcus pneumoniae. Its description in RNAcentral is "tRNA-Asp(gtc)". It matches the Rfam family "tRNA". From Rfam's summary of the family: Transfer RNA (tRNA) molecules are approximately 80 nucleotides in length. Lineage: Bacteria; Bacillati; Bacillota; Bacilli; Lactobacillales; Streptococcaceae. The record is from RNAcentral.